This 582-nucleotide ribosomal RNA is filed under the name uncultured Bacillus sp. Its description in RNAcentral is "bacterial SSU rRNA". It matches the Rfam family "Bacterial small subunit ribosomal RNA", at positions 75 to 641 of the family's 1533-position model. The record is from RNAcentral. Lineage: Bacteria; Bacillati; Bacillota; Bacilli; Caryophanales; Bacillaceae.
AGAGCUUGCUUUAAAGAAGUUAGCGGCGGACGGGUGAGUAACACGUGGGCAACCUGCCUGUAAGACUGGGAUAACUUCGGGAAACCGGAGCUAAUACCGGAUAAUAUAUAGUACCUCCUGGUACUAUAUUGAAAGUUGGUNNCGGCUAACACUUACAGAUGGGCCCGCGGCGCAUUAGCUAGUUGGUGAGGUAACGGCUCACCAAGGCAACGAUGCGUAGCCGACCUGAGAGGGUGAUCGGCCACACUGGGACUGAGACACGGCCCAGACUCCUACGGGAGGCAGCAGUAGGGAAUCUUCCACAAUGGACGAAAGUCUGAUGGAGCAACGCCGCGUGAGCGAUGAAGGCCUUCGGGUCGUAAAGCUCUGUUGUUAGGGAAGAACAAGUGCGAGAGUAACUGCUCGCACCUUGACGGUACCUAACCAGAAAGCCACGGCUAACUACGUGCCAGCAGCCGCGGUAAUACGUANGUGGCAAGCGUUGUCCGGAAUUAUUGGGCGUAAAGCGCGCGCAGGCGGUUUCUUAAGUCUGAUGUGAAAGCCCACGGCUCAACCGNGGNGGGUCAUUGGNAACUGGGAGAC